AAAAAAAAUUUUAAAAAAAAAACACCGAAACCCCAAGAAACAGAAGCCGAGCUACCAAGGGAAGACAGGAGAGAGAACAAUGGGACUGAAAACAAGGGAUGCUGAGAUGGAUUUAAGGUGUGUUUGAUGCUAAAAGCAGGUGCUUCAGAAGUCGGUGGUUUCUAAUGGAGUCCAACAAUAAUCCAGCAAUUUUCAGUGCCAGAGUCAGUGUUCUAGCAACUUUACAACUCGUUGACACUGGAUUCUGGUAGAUUGGCCAGAUCCAAGUCUUGUAGUAGUGUCUUUUUCUGAUAAAGGUCCUCACAGAAGAUGGAAAUUAGGAA
This 323-nucleotide unclassified non-coding RNA is filed under the name Hevea brasiliensis (rubber tree). Lineage: Eukaryota; Viridiplantae; Streptophyta; Magnoliopsida; Malpighiales; Euphorbiaceae. The record is from RNAcentral.